CUUGAACAAAUAUAAGAGGUCCAGCCUGCCCAGUGACAUAGUUUAACGGCCGCGGUACCCUAACCGUGCGAAGGUAGCAUAAUCACUUGUUCCUUAAAUAGGGACUAGUAUCAACGGCAUUACGAGGGCUGUACUGUCUCCUUUCUCCAAUCAGUGAAACUGAUCUCCCCGUGAAGAAGCGGGGAUUUUAAUAUUAGACGAGAAGACCCCAUGGAGCUUUAAGCAACGAAUUUACCACAUACCAACAACUCAACUAAUCCUAAAACCUAAAUUCUAGCUUUUGGUUGGGGGGACCGCGGAGUAUAACCCAACCUCCGCAACUAAUGGGCUCUGCCCUUAUCCACGAGCUACAACUCUAAGAAUCAUAAAAUUGAUGUCUUUGACCCGAAAACCUCGAUCAAUGAACCA
This 408-nucleotide ribosomal RNA is filed under the name Hylarana erythraea (green paddy frog). RNAcentral describes it as "partial 16S ribosomal RNA". It matches the Rfam family "Bacterial large subunit ribosomal RNA", at positions 1834 to 2459 of the family's 2925-position model. The record is from RNAcentral. Lineage: Eukaryota; Metazoa; Chordata; Amphibia; Anura; Ranidae.